GAUGAACGCUGGCGGCGUGCCUAACACAUGCAAGUCGAACGGAGUUUUUAGAGGAAGCCUUUCGGGGUGGAACCUUUGAACUUAGUGGCGGACGGGUGAGUAACGCGUGAGCAAUCUGCCUUCAAGAGGGGGACAACAGCUGGAAACGGCUGCUAAUACCGCAUAACAUAUAUUUGUGGCAUCACAGAUAUAUCACAGGAGAAAUCCGCUUGAAGAUGAGCUCGCGUCCCAUUAGCUAGUUGGCGGGGUAGAGGCCCACCAAGGCGACGAUGGGUAGCCGUACUGAGAGGUUGAGCGGCCACGUUGAGACUGAGACACGGCCCAGACUCCUACGAGAGGCAGCAGUGAGGAAUAUUGGUCAAUGGGCGAGAGCCUGAACCAGCCAAGUCGCGUGAAGGAUGACUGCCCUAUGGGUUGUAAACUUCUUUUAUAGGGGAAUAAAAAGUGGGACGUGUCCUAUAUUGUAUGUACCCUAUGAAUAAGCACCGGCUAACUCCGUGCCAGCCGCCGCGGUAAUAC
This 519-nucleotide ribosomal RNA is filed under the name uncultured bacterium. Its description in RNAcentral is "bacterial SSU rRNA". It matches the Rfam family "Bacterial small subunit ribosomal RNA", at positions 28 to 526 of the family's 1533-position model. The record is from RNAcentral.